Molecule: transfer RNA, 72 nt
Filed under: Petrobiellus sp. 1 JZ-2014
Lineage: Eukaryota; Metazoa; Arthropoda; Insecta; Archaeognatha; Machilidae
Description: tRNA-Lys
Source: RNAcentral
AAUUAAGUGGCUGAAUUGUUAGCAAUGGCCUCUUAAGCCACAAUAUAGUACAUUAACAAAUACUCUUAAUUA